RNAcentral lists this long non-coding RNA (678 nucleotides) under Triticum aestivum (bread wheat). Its description in RNAcentral is "long non-coding RNA (TAES_LNC025688)". The record is from RNAcentral. Lineage: Eukaryota; Viridiplantae; Streptophyta; Magnoliopsida; Poales; Poaceae.
UCGCUCAAAGUGUAGUCCAUUCAGCUGCUCAUGUGUAAUGAAAAUGAUAUUACAGCAUUGUCACUAACUACAACGACAUCACGCACCAAUUCCUUUCUUGCAUCUACGUUCACUUGGAUCUGAAAAAGCAGGCGAGUGUGCUUAAAUGUAUUGUCACAUUCAACAUGUUGAACCCCGUAUGGAUGUACAUAAUUUAUUCUAUGAUGUUUAUUCAGGCUAGACUACGUUAGAGAGAUAGGGAUCUGCGAGAGGCUACUUCAGUUGUUCCAGAGCUUGAAAUUCCCGCUAGUUUGCUGUCGUUCUCUUCUUCAACAAGAUCCACGUCAGAUUGGGUUUUGAACGGAAGGUAUCUGACUCCUGGUUGUGGAAAAGAUAUGAUCCAUGGGACUUCACCUGUUACUGAAUCUAUCGCCGAGAAUAUGUUACGAAAUUGUUACAUGAUUCAGAGAGGACAGGGAAGAAGGACAAUAACGGAUGUGCGUGUGAGUAACUAACCUGUGUGGUCGACGAAACCAUGGGGGUGCUCUGCACCGUCGCUCCCCUCCAUUUUUCCUACCGGACGCUGGCUGUGAAGAUUGAGAUGAAGGGGAACUAUGAGUCUGUGUUGGGUGCAGACUGCUCCGGGAAGAAGAUGGUAUGGUCACGGGGCCUGUUCACGUCUUGCCAGCACGGCUGCCG